UGUAAACAAUUUGUUUUGAUUUCCCCUUCCUUAUCUGAUUUUAUUGUUGGACUCUUGAAUCUGUGGUUAUACAUGUCCGAAGUUGAACCAGCAUUUUAAUUUGAAUUUGAUGUUAGCAUUUCAAUAAUUGGACUUGACUACCCAUAUCUUGUCGAACUUGCUAAAUGCUUGUGAUUCAUUUUACCUUGAUAUGAUUAUGCGAUGAUGUUGGAUUCAGUGAAUUUCACUGCCAUAUCUUGUCGAACUUGCUAGAUGCUUGUGAUUCAUUUUACCUUGAUUAAUUUGAAUUUGAUGUUAGCAUUUCAAUAAUUGGACUUGACUACCCGUAUCUUGUCGAACUUGCUAAAUGCUUGUGAUUCAUUUUACCUUGAUAUGAUUAUGCGAUGAUGUUGGAUUCAGUGAAUUUCACUGCCAUAAAUUACUUUGUGAAACAUAUGGUCUAUAUUAGACAUUUAAAUGUAGUUAAGGGUAUCUUAAUGACACUUUAUAUGAGGAUGCUAAUUAUUUUUAAUUAUCAAUGGGGCAUUACUGCUUAGCAUUUAUUUUUAUUAACAUCAGGGACAUGCUUCAAUAUGUUUGUAGUUUGAGAAUCACGAACAUUGCUAUGCUUGGUAAUUUGGAAAUCCAUUUUGAAUUUCAUGUGAUGAAUGGUUUUUUUUUUUCAUUUUUAGGGCUUGAUGUGUAAAUUUACAUCAAGAUUUUGGAGAUAAAUCAAUGUCCUAUUUGUUAAUGCUAGAGAUAAAUUUAUGUGGAGUUGAUAAGUUUGUGAUCUGAUUAUGCAUUAUUUAUAAUGUGC
This 796-nucleotide long non-coding RNA is filed under the name Populus trichocarpa (black cottonwood). RNAcentral's name for it is "long non-coding RNA (PTRI_LNC000532)". The record is from RNAcentral. Lineage: Eukaryota; Viridiplantae; Streptophyta; Magnoliopsida; Malpighiales; Salicaceae.